GUGUGAACAUUCGGAUCACCAACGCUGUGACCUCGCUGUAUGAACGAGAGCUUCAACAGGAAGGAAGCUUACAAAUGAGCUGCAUGGAUCCCACAUUUUGCUAAAAUCAAAUAGGACCUUUCCUCUUUGUUGAAUGCCGUAAUACACAAGAAAUAAGCCAGCAGGAUAUGCAUGUCCAAGGUCUCCUGUUAUCUGCCACUUGAGUUGGCACAAAACAACUUCUUGGGAUCAUAUGUUCUGAGCAAUGAUUCAAGUCUUAGCAAAUUUCAGGAACAAUCUAAAGAGGAAAUAAAUAGCCUUUUGUUUAAGUUGGAUCAAUUUCUCCUUUUGCUCCUGCUUCAUACCAGGUACUCUCCAUUGUGCCUGGGAAAUAUGAAUCCUUGCCAUCAUGAAAACAACAUUGGCCAUGAGGAUUGUCCCUAAAACCCAAGGACUAUUUGAAGUUUGAAGUCUUUCAGCCCGGACAACAAUGGCUAUUUUCACUUUUGCCUUCAACUUUAAAAGCUGGGCUCUCUCUGCAGGAGUGGGAUCAGGCCGAACAGAGAUGCCACACAUACCUUUUGCUAUUGGCUGCUAUUCAGAGCAAAACCACAAAGCAUAGAAAUUGCAGGUUCGUUCAUUCUUCAGUGCUUAACAAUCUCCCAAGGAAGGCAGAUGCAUUUUCCAAGAUAGCAGUUUCAUCAAAGAACAGCCGAUAAUGAGAGAUAAAGAGCUGCCUGGCGGCUUGAGCUUACGUCUGUUUCAAGGAUUUACUGAAUACUAAUAGAACAUGGCUUUUGUUGGAGAAGAAGCCUUUGCAGUCAGUGAUUGCCUUGUGUCAUUAAACCUAGCCACCAACUGGUUUGCCCCACAGGAUCUAUAGUAGUUUACCAAGUCAGGGAAAAAAUAUUAAUUAGAUUUUUUUUAAUUUAAAAAGAAGAUGGACUUUAUGUGUUUGUUCAUUCAAUAGUGAAAAGAUUUGUGUAUGUGGUGAGUGAUUUCCGUUUCAUUACUACAGAGUGGCACAUGGUACAUGUAGGAGGCAGAAUGAAGUGACCUGGUAUCGCAUCCCACUGAAGGGAGUUUGAAACCCCACCUGGCUUUAUAAGCAUAUUCUAUUGGCCCAUCCUGUUCAUAUACCCCCUGAACUACACAAUUAUGCUUUUCAUUACAUAUUAUCUUACGUUUUUCUUUAUUUGUGUACAUCACUUUUGCUUCCCAAGGUAUAAUAUACAUUUCACAAGAUCAUAGUCCUAGCACUUCUUUUACUCUUCCAUGUUGUUAUUAGGAAAAACUGGGCACAUGUCAUAGGUUGAAAAUACAUGUUGAUUGAGUGUCAGAUUGCGGGUUCAGAACAUGAUGGAAAGAAAGGAGAAGGCUUUGGCAGAUUCCAGAAGAAGCUGAGUUUUUAAAGGAGUAAAUGGUAACAUAUGAAAAAUUUGACCUAAGUGAUGAAAAAAAUAAAACUCCAUUAAGGUGCCUUGUUCCAGCUUUCUCCUAAGACAAGACCUUCAACACAGAAAUGGACAAUUUUGAAUGAUGAAGAGAAGUAUUUUGCUAUGCCAAAAUGGAUGUAAUCUCAAACCAUAUUUGAUUUCCUCAUGAUAUGAUAGAUUAGGGGGAUGUAAAACCAGAUUAAAAAUCUGAGUUCUUUGGAUAUUUGAUAUUCAGGUUUUCCUCUCACUUCUCUCUGUUAUUCAUCUCCAUGAUUUUUGGCCCAAUAAAGGCUU
Long non-coding RNA from Saimiri boliviensis boliviensis (Bolivian squirrel monkey), 1709 nucleotides. RefSeq lists it as uncharacterized. The record is from RefSeq and is a predicted model, not a curated record. NCBI's taxonomy places the organism in Eukaryota, Metazoa, Chordata, Mammalia, Primates, Cebidae.